GCUAGGUGUGGUGGUGCACAUCUAUAAUCCUAGCUACCGGGGAGGCUGAGGCAGGAGUAUUGUGAGUUUGAGGGCAGCUUGGGCAAAAGAGCAAGACCCUAUCUCCA
This 107-nucleotide small RNA is filed under the name Marmota monax (woodchuck). Lineage: Eukaryota; Metazoa; Chordata; Mammalia; Rodentia; Sciuridae. The record is from RNAcentral.